RNAcentral lists this ribosomal RNA (492 nucleotides) under uncultured bacterium. RNAcentral's name for it is "partial 16S ribosomal RNA". It matches the Rfam family "Bacterial small subunit ribosomal RNA", at positions 29 to 507 of the family's 1533-position model. The record is from RNAcentral.
AGUGAACGCUGGCGGUAGGCCUAACACAUGCAAGUCGAACGGCAGCACAGUAAGAGCUUGCUCUUACGGGUGGCGAGUGGCGGACGGGUGAGGAAUACAUCGGAAUCUACUUUUUCGUGGGGGAUAACGUAGGGAAACUUACGCUAAUACCGCAUACGACCUACGGGUGAAAGCAGGGGAUCUUCGGACCUUGCGCGAUUGAAUGAGCCGCUGUCGGAUUAGCUAGUUGGCGGGGUAAAGGCCCACCAAGGCGACGAUCCGUAGCUGGUCUGAGAGGAUGAUCGGCCACACUGGAGCUGAGGCACGGUCCAGACUACUACGGGAGGCAGCAGUGGGGAAUAUUGGACAAUGGGCGCAAGCCUGAUCCAGCCAUACCGCGUGGGUGAAGAAGGCCUUCGGGUUGUAAAGCCCUUUUGUUGGGAAAGAAAAGCAGCAGGUUAAGACCCCGCUGUUCUGACGGUACCCAAAGAAUAAGCACCGGCUAACUUCGUG